RNAcentral lists this transfer RNA (16 nucleotides) under Chlamydomonas reinhardtii. Its description in RNAcentral is "tRNA-Glu". Lineage: Eukaryota; Viridiplantae; Chlorophyta; Chlorophyceae; Chlamydomonadales; Chlamydomonadaceae. The record is from RNAcentral.
AAUUCCGCUGGGGGUA